AUUGAACGCUGGCGGCAUGCUUUACACAUGCAAGUCGAACGGUAACAGGCCGCAAGGUGCUGACGAGUGGCGAACGGGUGAGUAAUGCAUCGGAACGUGCCUAGUCGUGGGGGAUAACUACUCGAAAGAGUAGCUAAUACCGCAUACGAUCUAUGGAUGAAAGCGGGGGACCGUAAGGCCUCGCGCGAUUGGAGCGGCCGAUGUCAGAUUAGGUAGUUGGUGGGGUAAAGGCUCACCAAGCCAACGAUCUGUAGCUGGUCUGAGAGGACAACCAGCCACACUGGGACUGAGACACGGCCCAGACUCCUACGGGAGGCAGCAGUGGGGAAUUUUGGACAAUGGGCGCAAGCCUGAUCCAGCAAUGCCGCGUGCAGGAAGAAGGCCUUCGGGUUGUAAACUGCUUUUGUACGGAAAGAAACGGCUCUGGUUAAUACCCGGGGCUAAUGACGGUACCGUAAGAAUAAGCACCGGCUAACUACGUG
Molecule: ribosomal RNA, 482 nt
Filed under: uncultured bacterium
Lineage: Bacteria
Description: partial 16S ribosomal RNA
Rfam family: Bacterial small subunit ribosomal RNA
Source: RNAcentral